RNAcentral lists this ribosomal RNA (235 nucleotides) under uncultured bacterium. Its description in RNAcentral is "partial 16S ribosomal RNA". It matches the Rfam family "Bacterial small subunit ribosomal RNA", at positions 524 to 758 of the family's 1533-position model. The record is from RNAcentral.
UACGAAGGGGGCUAGCGUUGCUCGGAAUCACUGGGCGUAAAGGGCGCGUAGGCGGAUAGUUUAGUCAGAGGUGAAAGCCCAGGGCUCAACCUUGGAAUUGCCUUUGAUACUGGCUAUCUUGAGUUCGGGAGAGGUGAGUGGAAUGCCGAGUGUAGAGGUGAAAUUCGUAGAUAUUCGGCGGAACACCAGUGGCGAAGGCGACUCACUGGCCCGAUACUGACGCUGAGGCGCGAAA